Molecule: ribosomal RNA, 440 nt
Filed under: uncultured bacterium
Lineage: Bacteria
Description: bacterial SSU rRNA
Rfam family: Bacterial small subunit ribosomal RNA
Source: RNAcentral
CUACGGGAGGCAGCAGUGGGGAAUAUUGGACAAUGGGCGAAAGCCUGAUCCAGCCAUGCCGCGUGAGUGAUGAAGGCCCUAGGGUUGUAAAGCUCUUUCAGUGGGGAAGAUAAUGACGGUACCCACAGAAGAAGCCCCGGCUAACUUCGUGCCAGCAGCCGCGGUAAUACGAAGGGGGCUAGCGUUGUUCGGAAUUACUGGGCGUAAAGCGCACGUAGGCGGAUUUUUAAGUCAGGGGUGAAAUCCCGGGGCUCAACCCCGGAAUAGCCUCUGAUACUGGAUGUCUAGAAUCCGAGAGAGGUGAGUGGAAUUCCGAGUGUAGAGGUGAAAUUCGUAGAUAUUCGGAGGAACACCAGUGGCGAAGGCGGCUCACUGGCUCGGUACUGACGCUGAGAUGCGAAAGCGUGGGGAGCAAACAGGAUUAGAAACCCUAGUAGUCC